AAACGCACGCGGGAAGAGCUGCUACCCGUUCCAGGGACCCUGCCGCUGCCCCUCUGAGGGGUCUGCACCUCCUGGGAGCAGGUGGGUCUCUGGGACGAGGGUCCAUGGUGGAUGGCUCUGGAGACGCUCCCGAGGCUGUGCCGUCCCCCUGCUGCACAGGUCGGAGGGUCACCGCAGAGGCUACUCGGGCCGGGGCUGGGGCCGAGGGAGCCCACACUGGAGGGUCUCGCUCUGUUGCCCAGUGGCAUGAUCAUGGCUCACUGCAGCCUCCAACUACUGGCCUCAAGUGAUCCUCUUGCCUUGGCCUCCUGAAGUCCUGGAAUUAUAGGCGUGAGCCACUGCACUGGGCCCAUUUAAUACUCUGAGCCCCACCUUUCCCAUCUGUGGAUGGAGAUAAUGAUAAUAGCAUCUUUGUGGUGUGACUGUGAAGACAGAUGAGCAUGCAAAGCUCCAAGUGCCUGCUGAAUUCCCCAUGUGGAAUCCAAGAACGCAGCUGCUCUGCUGAGAACACAGCAGCCCAU
RNAcentral lists this small RNA (521 nucleotides) under Pongo abelii (Sumatran orangutan). RNAcentral's name for it is "processed transcript". Lineage: Eukaryota; Metazoa; Chordata; Mammalia; Primates; Hominidae. The record is from RNAcentral.